This is a non-coding RNA of Kogia breviceps (pygmy sperm whale), 8019 nucleotides long. NCBI's taxonomy places the organism in Eukaryota, Metazoa, Chordata, Mammalia, Artiodactyla, Physeteridae. The record is from RefSeq and is a predicted model, not a curated record.
AUACAUGUGGGAUCUGUGGAAAUGGCAAAAAUUGUGGUGAAGCUAUGCAAAUGAUGGAAGUUCAGAAAGUGCUGUUUUAAGCCAUGGGUAAUGGUGGAUAAGGUCACCCAAGGAGAGAGUAAGCGUGAGAAGAAAAGAGAGUUGACAUUUGGGUGGCGGGGAAUGGAGAAGAAGAGCCCAUGGAGACUGAGGAAGAGCAGCCAGAAGAAUAGGAGGAGAACCAGGAGAAGAUGGUCUUUGGAGUCCAAAUGAAGAGUUCUGAAAAGGAGGAAGUGGUCAACAGCGUCAAGAUGGUGCACCAUGGACGAUUUUGCCCUGGGAAAUUUCACUGUAGCAGAUUAUGCCUUGUUAGAAGAGUGCCCUUACAUGGAUGAUUGUGUCUUUGCCUCCGAAUUUAUGUCCAAUGAUUAUGUUCGUGUGACUCAACUUUACUGUGAUGGGGUGGGUAGACAGUAUAAAGAUUAUACCCAAAGUGAGGGAAACUUAGAGUUUGACAUCUGCACUAUGUGGUGUAGUAAACCUAUUUCUAUCCUGCAAGAUUACUGUGAUGCCAUUAAAAUACACGUCUUCUGGCCACUUCUGUUUCAACGUCAGCACAGUUCUGUGAUAUCACGGUUGCACCCCUGUGUGGAGGCGAACAGUUCUCAUGCUUCUGAGAUAAGUUUGAAGAAAUUACAACAUCUUGAGUUGAUGGAAGAUAUUGUGGAUUUGGCAAAGAAAGCUGCGAAUGAUUCAUUCUUUAUUGGAGGCUUAUUGAGAAUUGGUUAUAAAAUAGAAAAUAAAAUCUUGGCAAUGGAAGAAGCUUUGAAUUGGGUGAAAUACACAGGCGAUGUAACAAUUUUACCUAGGUUAGGAGCAGUUGACAAUUGUUGGCCUAUGUUAAGUAUUUUCUUUACUGAAUACAAGUAUCACAUUACUAAAGUUGUAACAGAAAACUGCAAUUUGCUUGAAGAAUUUAAAACUCAAAGUUGUGCGGAGUGUCUAGAGCAAGGAGAACUAAUGAAAAUGAAAGGAAAUGAAGAGUUUUCCAAAGAAAGAUUUGAUAUAGCUAUUAUCUAUUACACCAGAGCCAUUGAAUGUAGACCUGAAAAUCACCUUCUUUAUGGUAACCGAGCUCUUUGUUUUCUUCGCACUGGACAAUUUAGAAAUGCACUUGGUGAUGGAAAGAGAGCUAUUAUUCUGAAGAACAAUUGGACAAAGGGUCAUUAUCGUUAUUGUGCUGCUCUUUCUAUGCUGGGGGAGUAUGACUGGGCCCUGCAAGCAAACACAAAAGCUCAAACACUCUGUAAAAAUGACCCUGAGGGAAUCAAGGAUCUAAUUCAGCAGCAUGUAAAGUUACAAAAACAAAUAGAAGACCUGCAAGGUCGAACACCAACUAGGAAUCCAAUUAAAGCCUUCUAUGAAAGCAGGGCCUACAUACCUAGUUUAUCAGCACCUGCAUUUAGUACUUCACUUAACUUUGUGGAGACUGAAAAAAAUUCCAGAAAAACUAACCACGAAAUGGCAAACGGUGGUAAUCAGAAUCCAAAGGUGGCAGAUGAAGCUUUGAAGGUAGAUGAUUGUGACUGUCAUCCUGAAUUUCUGCCACCAUCAGGUCAGCCUCCAAAAUAUAAAGGAAAACAAAAAUCCCGAAACAAUGAAUUGGAGAAGUUCAGUUCUGGUUCACAAGGGAGUUUACCAGUAGAUUUGAAAAACAUCUUGGAGAAACAGUUUUCUAAAUCCUCCAGAGCUGCACACCAGGAUUUUGCUAAUAUAAUGAAAAUGCUGAGAAGCUUAAUCCAGGAUGGUUACACGGCUUUGUUGGAGCAGCGCUGCCGCAGUGCUGCCCAGGCCUUCACAGAGUUGCUCAAUGGUUUAGAUCCUCAAAAAAUAAAGCAACUGAACCUGGCCAUGAUUAACUACGUCUUAGUAGUCUAUGGACUUGCCAUUUCACUCCUUGGAAUAGGACAACCUGAGGAAUUAUCUGAAGCUGAAAACCAGUUUAAGAGGAUGAUUGAACACUACCCCAAUGAGGGACUUGAUUGCUUGGCCUACUGUGGAAUUGGAAAAGUGUAUUUGAAAAAAAACAGGUUUCUAGAAGCUCUUAAUCAUUUCGAGAAAGCAAGAACCUUGAUCUGUCGUCUUCCUGGAGUGUUAACUUGGCCCACAAGUAAUGUGGUUAUUGAAGAGACUCAGCCAGGGAAAAUAAAGAUGCUGUUAGAGAAAUUUAUUGAAGAAUGCAGGUUCCCUCCAGUGCCGGAUGCCAUUUGUUGCUAUCAGAAGUGCCGUGGAUAUUCCAAAAUCCAGAUAUACAUAACUGAUCCAGACUUUAAGGGUUUUAUACGAAUCAGCUGUUGCCAGUACUGUAAAGUAGAAUUCCACAUGAACUGUUGGAAGAAGUUAAAAACAACAACCUUUAAUGAUAAAAUUGACAAGGAUUUUCUGCAAGGAAUUUGUCUUACUCCUGACUGUGAAGGAAUCAUUUCAAAGAUUAUCAUCUUCAGCAGCGGUGGUCAAGUUAAAUGUGAAUUUGAACACAAAGUCAUUAAAGAAAAGGUUCCUCCAAGACCUAUUCUGAAACAGAAAUGUUCUAGCCUAGAGAAGUUAAGGCUGAAAGAAGACAAAAAAUUGAAGCGGAAGAUCCAAAAAAAGGAAGCAAAAAAAUUAGCACAAGAAAGAUUGGAAGAGGACUUAAGGGAAAGUAAUCCACCUAAAAUUGAAGAGCAGAAAGAAACUGUAGACAGUGUUCAGAGUUGCCAGUUCCUUGAUGACAGAAUUCUGCAGUGCAUAAAGCAGUAUGCUGACAAGAUUAAGUCUGGGAUACUGAAUACUUCCAAGCUUCUCAAAGAGUUGCUUUCUUGGAAGGUUUUAACCACAGAAGACUACACAACCUGUUUUUCUAGCAGAAAUUUUCUGAAUGAAGCAGUGGACUAUGUCAUCUGUCAUUUGGUUCAAGAAAAGAAUAGAGUAAAGACAAGGGUGUUUCUGCAUGUUUUGAGUGAACUUAAAGAAGUGGAACCAAAAUUAGCCACAUGGAUCCAAAAACUUAAUAGCUUCGGCUUAGAUGCCACAGGACCUUUUUUUUCUUGUUAUGGGGCCGCUCUUAAGGAGCUUGAUUUUAGCAUCAUGACUUUUCUCUGGAAUGAGAAAUAUGGUCAUAAACUAGGCUCUAUAGAAGGAAAGCAGCUUGAUUAUUUCUGUGAGCCAGCGUCAUUGAAGGAAGCGCGAUGUUUAAUAUGGCUUCUGGAAGAACACAGAGACAAGUUCCCAGCACUGCAUAAUGCUUUGGAUGAAUUCUUUGAUAUAAUGGACAGCCGCUGCACUGUAUUAAGGAAACAGGACAGUGGUGAUGUGCCAUUUAAUUCUACCAAGAUAAAAAACAAAGGCAAGAAAAAGAAGCCAAAAGAUUCAAAGCCUAUGUUAGUUGGGUCUGGAACCACUUCAGUCGCAUCAAAUAAUGAGACUGUCACUUCAGGUGAACACCAUAACAAACACAAUUCAAAUUCUGCGGGCCCAUUUGUAGUGCCUGACCAUCUUCGUCACGAUGUAGAAGAAUUUGAAGCUCUGUAUGAACAGCAUAGUAAUGAAUAUGUUGUCCGUAAUAAGAAGCUGUGGGACAUUAACCCAAAACAAAAAUGUUCAACUCUAUACGAUUAUUUCUCUCAGUUGUUAGAGGAACAUGGUCCCUUGGAAAUGAGUAACAAGAUGUUUUCUGAAGAAUAUGAGUUUUUCCCAGAAGAAACUCGACAGAUACUAGAAAAAGCAGGAGGUUUGAAAUCUUUUCUCCUGGGAUGUCCUCGUUUUGUUGUGAUUGACAACUGUAUUGCAUUGAAGAAAGUUGCGUUACGGCUUAAGAAAAAGAGAAAGAAGAAAAACAUUAAGACAAAAGUAGAAGAAAUUUCGAAAACAGGAGAGUAUUUACGAGUUAAACUACCGCUGAAUCCAACUGCUAGGGAAUUUAAACCAGAUGUGAAAUCCAAACCAGUGUCUGACUUACCUUCAGCACCAGCUUCUGAGGAUGUGAAGCCCCACCUUACAUCUGCUAAUUCUCUCCAGUCACCUUGUGAAGCCAUGAAGCCGAAACUAAUUUCUGAUACUUCUUCCAAAUCAGUUUCUGAGGAUGAGAAGCCCAAAGGGGUGUCUUCUGAUCCUCCAAAACCAGUCUCCGAGGAGACAAGUCACAAGCUUGUCUCCUCUAGUUCUCCCAAACCAGUUAAUGAGGAUGUGAAACCAACCUAUUGGACCCAACCCCAGUUGGUCACAGGAUACUGUACGUAUCUUCCCUUUCGGGGAUUUGACAUUACCCAGACACCACCAGCGUUUAUAAAUGUGUUACCGACUUUGCCCCAGUAUAGCAUUUACACACCUCUGGCCAGAGUUUCUUCUGAAUAUCAGCUGCAAAGAUCAAUACCAGUGGUGCGGUCUUUUGUAGCCAGUGACAUAACAGAAGUGCAUUUUGAGGGCCAUCAUUUCAAUGCUGAGAAUGUCCCUGGUAACCAGAUUGCCUCUGAAACACAGAUCCUUCAGGAAUCUUUGGAAAUAUCAGUAAAGUCACAGUGCAUCACGGGUGGUGCUGAUACAGCCCAAAGUGAGUCUAACAGAAAUGAUGACCACUGUGGAAAUUCUGCCAAGCAGGAAGUAAAUCCAGAAAGCACCGAUGAAGUAACAGAUAUUCCACAUACACAAAUGGUUGCCGUACAGGUGUCUUGGAAUAUAAUGCAUCAAGAAGUCAAUACUGAGCCGUAUGAUCCUUUUGAGGCACAACAGGGGAGUAUUUCACAGAUUGAAAAGGAGUACCAAGUUUUACAAGAGCAGCUUAAGGAAGCAUGUGAAAAUUAUGAGCAGAGAAAUAUCAAGGGCUCAGAAGAAACCAAGGAUUUGGAAGAAAAGUUGAAAAGGCACCUAGAAGAAAACAAGAUCUCCAAGACAGAAUUAGAUUGGUUCCUCAAAGAUUUGGAAAAGGAAGUUAAAAAAUGGGAACACGAGAAAAAAGAAAUCCAUGAGAGACUAAAGGCACUGAAGAAGAAGAUGAAAAAGGUUUUAAAUGCCAGUGAAAUGUAUACCCAGGAAAAUGCCGGAAAGGAAAAGGAAUGUGAAUUACUUCUGGACCAGUCCUUUGAAAUCAGUAAUACAUUUAUGAAUGAGAAAAUGAAAAUAGAAGAGUGUAUAAAGAAAGAGAAAGAGCAUUAUGAAGAGAGUCUUCAAAGGGCUGUGGAUGCAGAGGUAUCUGUGCUCGAAAACUGGAAGGAGAUGGAAAUAUAUAAGUUACAGACCAUGGAGUCACAAGCCGAAGGGUUUCUUAAGAACCUGAAGCUAAUGAGCAGUGAUUCUGCAGCAUAUCCUGUCAUGGAAUCUGACAUACAUUCAUGGGAAUCAUUUCUCUCUAAUGUUAGAGAAGAAAUUGAGAAAGCAAAGUCUCAGUUUGAAGAACAAAUUCAAGCAAUUAAAAAUGGUUCUCGGCUCAGUGAACUUUCUAAAGUGCAGAUUUCUGAGCUUUCGUUUCCUGCCUGUAACACAAUGCAUCCUGAGUUACUUCCAGAGUCCUCGGACCAUGAUGAUCAAGGCCCCUCCACUUCUACAAGUCACAGGACUGGAGAGCGAACAGCAGUUCCCGAGCAGUCAAGUCUGGUCUCUGCUACUGAUGAGCCAGAAGCCGGCCGGCUGCCAGAGUGUGAGAGCGCCGGCCAGGCAGCUCGGUCAGAGCCAAGCCCAGUGGCUGAUCAGAAGUUACCUGUUGCUCCAGGACGUGCCACCCGUUCAAGCCAGUCUCCAAAGAAGCCGUUCAAUAGUAUCAUUGAGCACCUGUCAGUGGUGUUCCCCUGUUACAGCAGCACCGAGCUUGCUGGUUUUAUUAAAAAAGUGAGAAACAAAAACAAGAACUCGCUCUCUGGAUUGAGUAUUGACGAAAUUGUCCAAAGAGUGACAGAACACAUUCUAGAUGAAGAGAAAAAGAAAAAGCCAAAUCCAGGCAAGGGCAGGAGGCCGUCUGAGCCCAGCUCUGCUGCUUCUGUGACCAGGGCCACCCAGGGCCCGCCCUCCAUGGUUGUUGGACCAUCACCCAAAAGCAAGGGGCAGGAGACAGACGACGUCCCUGUGUCCGGUGCAAAUUCCUGUGAAAUAUGCCUGGAAGUAUUCAAAUCCAAAAAUGUACGUGUGCUGAAAUGUGGGCACAAGUUUCACAAAGGGUGCUUCAAGCAAUGGCUUAAGGAGCAGAGCACUUGCCCAGCCUGCCUGGCUCGUGAUCUCCGGUCAGAAGAGUAGCCUGCCCUUCCGGAAGAGGCCCACCCACUAUUCUAGGUAGUUACAAUCCACUAAAGAGUAUAUAUUGUUUGUUGAGUUGCAAGAAUAACAAUAUACUACCUUUGAUAUAAAAAGCAACAUGUGAAGAUUCUUUGCACCGUGUGUCACGGUGCUAAUAAAUGGAAAUCUUUAAUAUAGUUGACAGUAAGUAAUGUCCCAACUCGGACUAGCCACUUAAUAAUCGCCCAAUGGUGGCUGAUAAAGUUAUGUGUAACCACAUCCUUAUAUUGCCGGGGCCGCUGCAGAGGUGCUCUCUGAGGUGGAAGGAAAAUGUGAGUGCCUCAAAGCAGGACUUAAAUUAUAAGCAUCCUUGACCUUUUAAAGUGCCCCUUGUUAAAGUUUUUUGAGAUCAGUAUUCUUAAACCAAUGCCUACAUUUUUCCUUAAAGAUUCUGCAUUUUAAAAAAAUGGGCUUACGCAAACCACAUUUGAAUAGGUUGUAGUUGAUGUUAAAAUAUUGGCUGAUUCAGACCAAAAGAUUCAUUCAGAUCUCCUCUUCAUGUGAUUUUUUUUUUCUUCAUGUGAUUUUGAUUUUUCAUUUCAUUAUUGUAUUUCUCCCCAGUCGAUUUAUAAGUGCUUGUGCUUGUUUUUCAUCUUAAAGACAUAAUGAUUUUUGAAAAUCACACAAAAAACUAAUUAACAUCAGCCAAGACUUUUUUUUAACCCCUAAAAUUGAGUCUCCGCAUCCAUUAUCCCAGCCCCACACCGGGAACUUACUCUGAAUACUUUUCUGUUCUCAUUAGUGAUGUUGUCCCUCUUUAUGAGUUAGACAACAAGUGUUUGGGUGUCUCUGUCUAGCACACAGUGGGCACUUUCCUUAUCCUACCACCAAAAAGAGACACUUGUGUAAUUAGACAGUCCUGAGGUGUCCCUGUUACAAUUGUUCGGUGUUUGACAUUUGUGUAAAGUAAUGCAUGCUCUCUUGUACUGUGGCCUGAGAACAAAACUGUAACUGCAUUAGAAACUGUUAAAAAAUUAGUUCUCUUUAGUGACUUCAUAGGCAGUAGUAGUAAAUACAGAAGCAUGAAUUCUGGACACAUUCCAUUUCUCUCAAACAGGAAGGGUCAAAAAAUGUUUUUCCGUGUGUUCUUGUUACCCCUGGAAGCUCACAGUCCCACGUUCAUGAGCUGAUUUGGUCGCUUCCCUCUGCCUUGGUUCCCUGUGAGUUUUGAUGUCUUAGUGACUUAGUGCAUAGAAGCUUCCUCCAUAUUUUGAAGCAGGUCCCUAAAACAUUGUCUGCACGCUCAGAAUAACUGAGGACUUGUGGAUAUGAAGAUACACAGGGCCCAGUUUGUAGCAGCAGUUACAAAGGGAAAGAAGAGCAGCUGGAGAGAAAGAACGUGUUUUGUACAUAACUUCAAACAAAUACUUGUGAACGUGCCUUACACAUGUCCUGUAAGUGUCGAAAUAAAAAGCAUCCUAAAAUAACAUCAGUUUACUGUCGUGUUUAUCUGCUCUUUGUCAAAUAAUUUAAAGUAUUCUACUUGAAAAUUCAAGACGUCUGUUACGCUGACAUUUUAAAAGGUGACUUCAUUUGGAAAGAAGAGCCGUGGUACGUCUGAGGAGUCUAACCAAGAGGUCUGAGGACGUUUUAGAGCCUGGAUCAAAAACAUCCUUUGUGCCUGUGUAGAGGUCCUCCUCUGCUGAAAACCAAGGAAGGCCCCCUUCUUGCCUCUGGCGACGCCCUGCCUCCAGAGCUUGCAGGUAAACCCAGAGCAGGUGUGCUUCAGGAGGGUCAAAC